RNAcentral lists this ribosomal RNA (351 nucleotides) under Triticum aestivum (bread wheat). RNAcentral's name for it is "partial small subunit ribosomal RNA". The record is from RNAcentral. Lineage: Eukaryota; Viridiplantae; Streptophyta; Magnoliopsida; Poales; Poaceae.
AUGCCCAGCACAAGUGCUAACGCCAUCACGGCCGGCACCACUGGCACCAGCAGCCGUUCGGUGUGCUCUCCGGGAUGCUGCAGUGGAAGGGUCGAGCAGGAGCUAUGGAUGCCAGCAAACAAGCCUGUGCAGACGGCAUUGCAUCAAUCAAAUCGGAUGGAGAACAUCACACAACAGCUUUCUCCAGGACAUAAAGAAAAUGGUGGCACUUUGGGUUUUGAAGACGCCGCCUCGCGUAGGACUACGAACAUGGGACGCUCGUUCGAGUUUUUCUUAACUCGUCAGGAUUCUCAUGCUGCAAAUUUAGUAACGGGGCAAAUUUUUGGGUGUCCUGAUGUGUUUGCGGAUUGA